GAAUGCAAGGGUGACCUGGCUGUGACCCUACCACCCCAUUGAUUGCCUGGGCCCAUUAGACUGAUGUGGUGGCCCGGUGUCUUCUUUCUCCCUCACCUCUGUGUACAUCAGGCUUUGCGUUGCGGACAACAGGAAUGACCUUCCCUGAUAAAGGCGGAUUGGUCCUCUGCAAGG
RNAcentral lists this small nuclear RNA (174 nucleotides) under Tupaia belangeri chinensis (Chinese tree shrew). RNAcentral's name for it is "Tupaia chinensis (Chinese tree shrew) 7SK RNA". It matches the Rfam family "7SK RNA", at positions 1 to 188 of the family's 331-position model. From Rfam's summary of the family: 7SK was discovered as an abundant small nuclear RNA in the mid-70s but a possible function has only recently been suggested. Two independent studies have found that 7SK RNA binds the CDK9/cyclin T complex (known as elongation factor P-TEFb). P-TEFb activates transcription by phosphorylating the C-terminal domain of RNA polymerase II. Lineage: Eukaryota; Metazoa; Chordata; Mammalia; Scandentia; Tupaiidae. The record is from Rfam by way of RNAcentral.